This 253-nucleotide ribosomal RNA is filed under the name uncultured bacterium. RNAcentral describes it as "partial 16S ribosomal RNA". It matches the Rfam family "Bacterial small subunit ribosomal RNA", at positions 524 to 776 of the family's 1533-position model. The record is from RNAcentral.
UACGGAGGGUGCAAACGUUGCUCGGAAUCACUGGGCGUAAAGGGCGCGUAGGCGGGGAGGUAAGUCGGGUGUGAAAUCCCUCGGCCCAACUGAGGAACUGAGCCCGAGACUGCUUCUCUUGAGUCCCGGAGAGGAAGAUGGAAUUCCCGGUGUAGCGGUGAAAUGUGUAGAGAUCGGGAGGAACACCUGUAGCGAAGGCGGUUCUCUGGGCCAAUACUGACGCUGAGGAGCGAAAGCGUGGGGAGCAAACAGG